GGAUCCGAAGGUGAUUUGGCUGCACUAUCUGCCACCUCUUUGUUCACCAGAGUUGAAACUGCUGAUCUGGUUGCCUAGACUGGUGUUUCCUUCCUCCCUCCUCGCACCCCUCCAGAACCUGAGCACUCGGUCAAGAGGAUGACCUUCCCUUAUAGAAAAGAACCAGUCUUCUGUAAAGAAUAGAAGAGUAGCUGCACUUACCUGCUAGAAAUUCCAGACAAUUUCUCAAGAUCCUUUUUCCUUUUACUUUUUUCUUUCCUUUUUUUUUUUUUUUUUUUUUUUUUUUGGAGACAGGGUCUCACU
RNAcentral lists this small nuclear RNA (303 nucleotides) under Homo sapiens (human). RNAcentral describes it as "7SK RNA". It matches the Rfam family "7SK RNA", at positions 1 to 274 of the family's 331-position model. From Rfam's summary of the family: 7SK was discovered as an abundant small nuclear RNA in the mid-70s but a possible function has only recently been suggested. Two independent studies have found that 7SK RNA binds the CDK9/cyclin T complex (known as elongation factor P-TEFb). P-TEFb activates transcription by phosphorylating the C-terminal domain of RNA polymerase II. The record is from Rfam by way of RNAcentral. Lineage: Eukaryota; Metazoa; Chordata; Mammalia; Primates; Hominidae.